UAUUUUAACUUAUUUUAUUUCACCUUAAUUUAUUUUUAUUUUAAUUUAUUUUUUAUUUUAUUUUUGUUUAUCUUAUGUUUUAUUUAAACAUUUUAUUUUUAUUUAUUUUAUUAUUUAUUUUUAUUUGGCCCAGCUUUAUUGAGAUAUAAUUGACAAACAAAAAUAAUGCCUAUUUAAGGCGUAGCCCAUGAUGAUUUAGGUCAUGUACACAUUGUGAGUGAUCAUCCCGGUCAAGCUGUUAAUUCCGUCGUCUCCCAUAGCCACCGUUUUCUUCCUUUCACUUUCUGUGGUGAGAGCCCUGAGGUCUGCUCCCUUGGGGAAUUUAAAGUGCACAACACAGCGGGGUUCCCUGGAGGCACCGUGGGACCCCCAGGACUCAUUCCUCUUAGAACUGGAGGUCGAGAGGCCGGCCCCGUGGCCGAGUGGUUGAGUUCACGUGCGCUCUGCUGCAGCGGCCCAGGGGUUGGCCGGUUCGAAUCCUGGGCGCGGACGUGGCACCGCUCGUCAGGCCACGCUGAGGCGGCGUCCCACAUGCCACAACUAGAAGGACCCACAACUAAAAUAUGCAACUACGUACUGGGGGGAUUUGGGGAGCAGAAGGAGGAAAAAAAAAAAAAAAAGAUUGGCAACAGCUGUUAGCUCGGGGGCCCAUCUUUAAAAAAAAAGAGAAAAAUCCAGAGGCGGGUCACCCUGUGACCAACCUGUCCCCACCUCCCCACCCUCCAGCCCCGGCCCCACCUCUCCCGGCUCUGCCACAGCGAGCGCCACUUUGUUGAGAUUUCGUCUUUAUUUGUGGACGUGGCAGCUGCUUUUCACAGGCUCCGCCCGGGCCGCGUUGACCCUGAGUCCUGCUCUGCCGCUGGCCGUGGGCAGACCUCUCUGGGCUGAAUCUGGGGCCCGGGCGUCCACCUCCUGGCGUCUGUUAGGAGCCACCCCGUGGGCAGCACCCUGGCUCCAAGGGACGUCUACAUCAAUGACGGGAUGUCACGGUACAAACUCGUGGUGACCCAGCGUCGGCCAGGCCUCCCGCGUGGCCUCGUUCAGCUCAGUGGCUUAUCCCUGACGCCAUUUGACUAGUAAGGAGGGUCAGGCUGGGGGCGUCUGUCCGUCCGUCUCUCCUGCCCCCGUACCUGUGCUCCUGUGUCUUCAUGUAGCCGCUGCUGGCGACUGAACGUGUGUGUCCCCAAAUUCACGUGUGGGAGCCCCAACCCUCAAUGAGAUGGGGUCACGAGGGUGGGGCCCCCAUGAAUGGGAUCAGUGCCCCCAUAAAGGACGCCCCGGAGAGCUCCCUGGCCCCGUCCACCACGUGAGGACACAGCGAGAAGGGGGCGUCUGUGAACCAGGAAGCGGGUCCCCCCCCGCCAGACACUGACCCGGCCACCUUGAUCGUGGACGUCCAGCCUCCAGAACCGGGGAAAAGAAAUGUCUUGUUUAAGCCGCUCCGUCUCGGGUAUUGAUUACAGCAGCCACCGAGGGGGGACUCCGGCAUUUGACGUCUCACUGGAUCUCGCCCCUCCUGGGAAAGUCAGUAGAUGCUACAAAGGAAGAAAGGGUCACCCCGCUGCCCAUCGCACGCCCAUGCCUUUUGGGGGCUUUUCCAAUAUGGCGGCAGGGGGCCCACUUCUUCUUUCCCUCUUGCCUGCGCUUCAGCAUGUUAUUUCCUCUCUGCCAAAGGCUUUUUGCAACUCGGAGACGAGGGAACAGAAACAGAACAGAAUAAUCGUUAAAACAAGGAACUGUGACCCGAACAACAUAGGUCCGGCUUCUAACCCCUGGAACCUAUGAUUGCAACCCCAUUGGGGAAAUAGGGUCUUGGCAGAGGCAAUCCACUUCAGGUGUUUGAAAAAGCCCGUUUUCGCACCGUGCGGUGUGUCUAAGAGACGCCUCUCACGGAAACGAGACAGACGGGUUCGGGAAUCCGUGCAGGCUCAUCUCGUUGUGACCUUUAGGAUGAAAUGAUAAUUAUUUCUUUUUAUCUUAUUUUAUUGAGCUAGAAUGGACAUCUCCCAUUCUGUUGGUUUCAGG
Equus caballus (horse) is the source of this 2025-nucleotide long non-coding RNA. The record is from Ensembl. Lineage: Eukaryota; Metazoa; Chordata; Mammalia; Perissodactyla; Equidae.